CCUACGGGAGGCUGCAGUGGGGAAUAUUGCACAAUGGGCGCAAGCCUGAUGCAGCCAUGCCGCGUGUGUGAAGAAGGCCUUCGGGUUGUAAAGCACUUUCAGCGGGGAGGAAGGCGUUAAGGUUAAUAACCUUGGCGAUUGACGUUACCCGCCGAAGAAGCACCGGCUAACUCCGUGCCAGCAGCCGCGGUAAUACGGAGGGUGCAAGCGUUAAUCGGAAUUACUGGGCGUAAAGCGCACGCAGGCGGUCUGUCAAGUCGGAUGUGAAAUCCCCGGGCUCAACCUGGGAGCUGCAUUCGAAACUGGCAGGCUAGAGUCUUGUAGAGGGGGGUAGAAUUCCAGGUGUAGCGGUGAAAUGCGUAGAGAUCUGGAGGAAUACCGGUGGCGAAGGCGGCCCCCUGGACAAAGACUGACGCUCAGGUGCGAAAGCGUGGGGAGCAAACAGGAUUAGAUACCCGUGUAGUC
Molecule: ribosomal RNA, 465 nt
Filed under: uncultured Klebsiella sp.
Lineage: Bacteria; Pseudomonadati; Pseudomonadota; Gammaproteobacteria; Enterobacterales; Enterobacteriaceae
Description: bacterial SSU rRNA
Rfam family: Bacterial small subunit ribosomal RNA
Source: RNAcentral